This 1727-nucleotide long non-coding RNA is filed under the name Homo sapiens (human). RNAcentral's name for it is "non-protein coding lnc-SCAP-1:4". The record is from RNAcentral. Lineage: Eukaryota; Metazoa; Chordata; Mammalia; Primates; Hominidae.
AGUCUUCAUCCACUAAACUGAGAGGCGCGGAGCGAGCUUAUUCCCCGCUCCCGGGCCAAGCCCAGCUGCGGGUCCCGCCCGCCGCGCUCCUCCCUCCUAGGAAGAGCAUGAGACCUCACCUAUGAACUUGCCCUCCCACGUAUUGUCAAGAGCCGUGGAGGACUGGUGCUGUGGUAGAGAUGACGUGGCGGGCGGGCCGCUGGAAAGAGAUGACGCGAAAACGGGCCUUAGAGAGGGUGCGGAGGGAGCACCUGGCCUGAAGGAGUCGGGGCUGAGAGCUGGGGGUUUCAGUCCCAGUGCUGCGAAGGCUUUCGAGCUUUGGAACAGAAUCACUGACCGGAGACUGGCCUACUCAGCCCAGCCUGGGAGGCCGGGCAGUGCCCAAGGGAGACGGACGAUAGGGAGGGAGCGCCUGGAUGGAGGGUCUCAAGCGGAGUGAGGAGGCCCCGGGCCCUGUGGGGAAGUGGGUGGGGGAAGGUAUACGGCCAGGUGAGCACCCAGGGACGCCCACAGUAUCUGGAAGGAGACCACGGAAUGGAGAGCACCUGUUGCCUCUGGAGAGGGGACCUAUAGAGCAGGAAUUGUUAAAUCAUAUGGCUGUAUCACCUACUUUUAGAAAUAAAUAAUAGGCUACUCGGGAGGCUGAGGCUGGAGGUUCAAUCGCUUGACCUGGGAGGCGGAGAUUGCGGUGAGCCUAGAUCUUGCCACUGCUCUCCAGCCUGAGCGACAGAGCGAGACUCCGUCUCAAAAUAAUAAUAGUAACAAUAGAAAUAACAGAGAAUGGCCUGGAGAUAGUGAGUGCAAAAGUGCGAGCUGGGAGAUCAGUGAGCCUUUUGUAGUCUUCCAGGAGACAGGUGAUUGUGGCUUGGAGCAGAGGGAAGUAAAAAGUGAGCAAAGAAAUAUUUUGCCCACUUUGAGAAAUAUUUGAGGAAUAUUUUGGAGACAAAAGUAUCAGAACUUGGAAUGGAUGGAUGUAAGGGCAUGAGGACGUCGAAUAUGAUUUCCAAGCUUCUGGCUUGUGCAGGUGGGUGGCUGUGGGGCUGUUUACUGAUAAGGGAAAACAAGGGAAGAGCAAAGGUUCAGGUCCGUGUUAAGCUCGAGGUCAAGGCCUUUGACUCGUUCUGGAUGAAAUGUGGAGACCACGAUGCCGGGUGCGGUGGUUCACGCUUGUAAUCCCAUCACUUUGGGAGGCCGAGGCGGGCGGAUCGCUUAAGCCCGGGAGUUCAAGACCAGCCUAGCCCACAUGGCCAAACCCCGUCCCUACAAAAAAUAUAAAAAUUAGCAGGACAUGGUGGCUCAUGUACGCCUGUAGUCCCAGCUACUCAGGAGGCUGAGGCGGGAGGAACCUUGAGCCCGGGAGGCAGAGGUUGCAGUGAGCCGUGAUUGUGCCAUUGUACUCCAGCCUGGGCGACAAAAGUGAAACCAUGUGUUAAAAAAAAAAAAAAGAAAAGAAAAAGAAAAAUUAUGGAGACCGUGGGAUGUGGGUGGGAUCUGGGAUUCUAAGACAGGCUUCACCCACAAGGUAGAGCCCAGGUCCCUUUGUUGUGAGACCUCAAACCCUUUCAAGACUUAGUCAAGGGCCUAGCUUCAUUCCAGUUGGAGUUAGAGCAGAAGAAAAUGAAAUUACAUGAAUGUUCAUAGCAGUACCAUUUCACAGUAGCCAAAAGAGAAGCAAUCCAUGCAGUGAUGGAUGGAUGCAUGAAUAAAGAUGAUGUGUGUACAUACAA